RNAcentral lists this ribosomal RNA (510 nucleotides) under uncultured bacterium. RNAcentral's name for it is "partial 16S ribosomal RNA". It matches the Rfam family "Bacterial small subunit ribosomal RNA", at positions 28 to 507 of the family's 1533-position model. The record is from RNAcentral.
GACGAACGCUGGCGGCGUGCUUAACACAUGCAAGUCGAACGAAGAGCGAUGGAAGCUUGCUUCUCUCAAUCUUAGUGGCGCACGGGUGAGUAACGCGUAAUCAACCUGCCCUUCAGAGGGGGACAACAGUUGGAAACGACUGCUAAUACCGCAUACGAUCUAAUCUCGGCAUCGAGGAUAGAUGAAAGGUGGCCUCUACAUGUAAUCUAUCACUGAAGGAGGGGAUUGCGUCUGAUUAGCUAGUUGGAGGGGUAACGGCCCACCAAGGCGAUGAUCAGUAGCCGGUCUGAGAGGAUGAACGGCCACAUUGGGACUGAGACACGGGCCAGACCCCUACGGGAGGCAGCAGUGGGGAAUCUUCCGCAAUGGACGAAAGUCUGACGGAGCAACGCCGCGUGAGUGAUGACGGCCUUCGGGUUGUAAAGCUCUGUUAAUCGGGACGAAAGGCCUUCUUGCGAAUAGUGAGAAGGAUUGACGGUACCGGAAUAGAAAGCCACGGCUAACUACGUG